This 500-nucleotide ribosomal RNA is filed under the name uncultured bacterium. Its description in RNAcentral is "partial 16S ribosomal RNA". It matches the Rfam family "Bacterial small subunit ribosomal RNA", at positions 30 to 523 of the family's 1533-position model. The record is from RNAcentral.
AUUGAACGCUGGCGGCAUGCCUUACACAUGCAAGUCGAACGGCAGCGCGGACUUCGGUCUGGCGGCGAGUGGCGAACGGGUGAGUAAUACAUCGGAACGUACCCUGUUGUGGGGGAUAACUAGUCGAAAGAUUAGCUAAUACCGCAUACGACCUGAGGGUGAAAGUGGGGGACCGCAAGGCCUAACGCAGCAGGAUCGGCCGAUGUCUGAUUAGCUAGUUGGUGGGGUAAAGGCCCCCCAAGGCGCCGAUCAGUAGCUGGUCUGAGAGGACGAUCAGCCACACUGGAACUGAGACACGGCCCAGACUCCUACGGGAGGCAGCAGUGGGGAAUUUUGGACAAUGGGGGCAACCCUGAUCCAGCAAUGCCGCGUGUGUGAAGAAGGCCUUCGGGUUGUAAAGCACUUUUGUCCGGAAAGAAAUCGCGCUGGUUAAUACCUGGCGUGGAUGACGGUACCGGAAGAAUAAGCACCGGCUAACUACGUGCCAGCAGCCGCCGUAA